AACGCAGCGAAGGGCGAUAAGUAAUGUGAAUUGCAGAAUUCAGUGAAUCAUCGAAUCUUUGAACGCACCUUGCGCUCCUUGGUAUUCUGAGGAGCAUGCCUGUUUGAGUGUCAUGAAGCUCUCAACUGCUUUAGCUUUUUAUGGUUGAAGUGAAGUUGGAUUUGGAGGAAUGAUUAUUGCUGGCGUGACCUUUUCAGGUUGCUCGUUAGCUCCUCUUAAAUGGAUGAACUUUCCAGUAGUAAAAUAACACCAAUGUGAUAAUUAUCUACGUUGGAUGUGCUUUUUACAAGGAAAGAUAUAUCUGUCUUGAAGGCAAACACCUCUUGACGAAACAAAUGACAAAUUUGACCUCAAAUCAGGUAGGACUACCCGCUGAACUUAA
RNAcentral lists this ribosomal RNA (382 nucleotides) under uncultured fungus. Its description in RNAcentral is "eukaryotic LSU rRNA". The stretch from base 1 to 113 matches the Rfam family "5.8S ribosomal RNA", at positions 42 to 154 of the family's 154-position model. The record is from RNAcentral. Lineage: Eukaryota; Fungi.